This is a long non-coding RNA of Syngnathoides biaculeatus (alligator pipefish), 1284 nucleotides long. RefSeq lists it as uncharacterized. The transcript is spliced from 3 exons. The record is from RefSeq and is a predicted model, not a curated record. NCBI's taxonomy places the organism in Eukaryota, Metazoa, Chordata, Actinopteri, Syngnathiformes, Syngnathidae.
AAAAUCUAUGUUGUCUUUGUGACCCUCUGUGAGGAAACUGGAUCUAUAAUUUUUUUGUGUGAAUGUGUGUCAUUGAGACUACAUCAGAGGUGGAGGAGUCGAGUCACCUGAAUCAACAACCUGCCAGUAUGCCACAACGCCGUGCACGGGGCCACAUGAAAUGAGUACCAUGGUGGGAGCUAUGUGGAUGAUUACGUUUGGAUUCAAGAAUAAUGAUUUUGAUGAAAUCUGGGAAAAGAGAACGACAAGACGGAAAGCUUCAAAACUCAAAGCAGCAGCAGCACCACCACCACCAGUACACUCCCCACACUCAACAGAACCCCCGCUGGAAACGGGUUUGUGUUUCAGGGCCCCCGGGGGGGGGGGCUGGCAGCAGGGGCUGGAGGCCGUCAAGAGCAGGCCCCCUUCAGCCAUGGACAGCUCCUCCGCUCUCGCAGAGUCAGCAAGGGAAAGACCUGAACUUGGAAUGACCCCGCCAAGCAAAGUCCCCGAUGGGUUCAUCUGCAGGCCACAGCUCCGGUUCCCCUCACCCCUAAUUUUUUUUUUUUUUUUUUUUUUUUUGGAGGGGAGGGCAGGCUGUUUUUACAACUUGACCAAUACAUUUUCCAGAGCAACAAUAACCCCUGCUUCACUCCUCUCCCGAAGAGGAAAGGCCUGCUAAGUUUACAUCCGAUGUCCUCCUUACACCUGCCAGACGAGAUUUUACUGAGCUUAUGAUCAGCGCUUUUAUUGGUCAUAACAACAACAUUGGUUGAACUUUUUACCUUUGCUGUGUCAGCAAAAUGCAAGCAAAUGUGUGAUUUCAGAGCAGAACUCCCUUUUCUGAUGGACUUUUUCAGGAUGCUUUUUGUAUUUUUGAUGCGCAAGUGAAUAAGUUGGUCAAUUACUGGCUUUUCCUUUGCACUUAAAAUUUGGAAAAUGGGUUACUUUGUAUUAUUUUUAGCAUAAAAUGCUGUUAUACGCCCCCCCCCCCCCUUCAAGAUAUUGAGAGAUUUAGCAUUAGGUGUUACAUCUGGGCGGCAUUGUGUCUCAGCUGGUAAAGCGUAAAGCCUCACAGUUCUGAGGACCCGGGUUCGAUCCCGGCCCCGUCUGCGUGGAGUUUGCAUGUUCUCCCCGUGGGUGGGUUUUCUCCGGGCACUCCAGUUUGCACCAUUAAUUGGACACUCUAAAUUCCCUCUCGGUGUGAUUGUGAGUGCGAAUGGUUGUUCGUCUGUAUGUGCCCUGCGAUUGGCUGGCAACCAGUUCAGGGUGUACCCCGCCUCCUGCCCGUUGGCAGCUGGGAUA